This 468-nucleotide ribosomal RNA is filed under the name uncultured bacterium. RNAcentral describes it as "partial 16S ribosomal RNA". It matches the Rfam family "Bacterial small subunit ribosomal RNA", at positions 28 to 507 of the family's 1533-position model. The record is from RNAcentral.
GACGAACGCUGGCGGCGUGCUUAACACAUGCAAGUCGAACGAUGAAACCCUACCUUGCUGCGCUGGACUAGUGGCGAACGGGUGAGUAACACGUGAGUAACCUGCCCCUGACUUCGGGAUAACUUCAGGAAACUGUAGCUAAUACCGGAUAUGCGCCCAUGCGGCAUGGUGAUGGGUGGGAAGUUUCGGCGGUUGGGGAUGGGCUCGCGGCUUAUCAGCUUGUUGGUGGGGUAGUGGCUUACCAAGGCGUUGACGGGUAGCCGGCCUGAGAGGGUGACCGGCCACAUUGGGACUGAGACACGGCCCAGACUCCUACGGGAGGCAGCAGUGGGGAAUAUUGCACAAUGGGCGGAAGCCUGAUGCAGCAACGCCGCGUGAGGGAUGACGGCCUUCGGGUUGUAAACCUCUUUUGGCUGGGAAGAAGCGUGAGUGACGGUAACUGGUAAAGAAGCACCGGCUAACUACGUG